Molecule: microRNA precursor, 69 nt
Organism: Choloepus hoffmanni (Hoffmann's two-fingered sloth)
Lineage: Eukaryota; Metazoa; Chordata; Mammalia; Pilosa; Megalonychidae
Gene: MIR193B
Product: microRNA 193b
Source: Ensembl
CAGAAUCGGGGUUUUGAGGGCGAGAUGAGUUUAUGUUUUAUCCAACUGGCCCACAAAGUCCCGCUUUUG